UACGGAGGGUGCAAGCGUUUAUCCGGAUUCACUGGGUUUAAAGGGUGCGUAGGCGGUUCGGUAAGUCGGGGUGUGAAAAACUCUGGGCUCAACCCGGAGACGCCACCCGAUACUGCUGUGACUUGAGUCUGGUAGGGGGAGCACGGAAUUCCUGGUGUAGCGGUGAAAUGCACAGAUAUCAGGAGGAACACCGGUGGCGAAGGCGGUGCUCUGGGC
This 216-nucleotide ribosomal RNA is filed under the name uncultured bacterium. Its description in RNAcentral is "partial 16S ribosomal RNA". It matches the Rfam family "Bacterial small subunit ribosomal RNA", at positions 524 to 734 of the family's 1533-position model. The record is from RNAcentral.